GAUCCUGGCUCAGAUUGAACGCUGGCGGCAGGCCUAACACAUGCAAGUCGAACGGUAACAGGAAGCAGCUUGCUGCUUCGCUGACGAGUGGCGGACGGGUGAGUAAUGUCUGGGAAGCUGCCUGAUGGAGGGGGAUAACUACUGGAAACGGUAGCUAAUACCGCAUAAUGUCGCAAGACCAAAGAGGGGGACCUUCGGGCCUCUUGCCAUCGGAUGUGCCCAGAUGGGAUUAG
Molecule: ribosomal RNA, 233 nt
Filed under: uncultured bacterium
Lineage: Bacteria
Description: partial 16S ribosomal RNA
Rfam family: Bacterial small subunit ribosomal RNA
Source: RNAcentral